AUGGCUCAGGAUGAACGCUAGCCACAGGCUUAACACAUGCAAGUCGAGGGGCAGCAUGAUCGAAGCUGCUUGAUGAUGGCGACCGGCGCACGGGUGAGUAACGCGUAUCCAACCUUCCCUAUAGUAGAGGAUAGCCCGGCGAAAGUCGGAUUAAUACUCUAUGUUUUCCAAUGCAGACAUCUAAGUUGGAACAAAGGUUCACCGCUAUAGGAUGGGGACGCGUCUGAUUAGGUAGUAGGCGGGGUAACGGCCCACCUAGCCGACGAUCAGUGGGGGUUCUGAGAGGAAGGUCCCCCACAUUGGAACUGAGACACGGUCCAAACUCCUACGGGAGGCAGCAGUGAGGAAUAUUGGUCAAUGGGCGAGAGCCUGAACCAGACCCAAGUAGCGUGCAGGAUGACCGGCCCUAUGGGUUAGUAAACUGUCUUUUAGUACGGGAUAAAGUGAGGGACGUGUCCCUUUUUGUAGGUACCGUAUGAAUAAGGACCGGCUAAUUCCGUGCCAGCCGCGGC
RNAcentral lists this ribosomal RNA (512 nucleotides) under uncultured bacterium. RNAcentral's name for it is "bacterial SSU rRNA". It matches the Rfam family "Bacterial small subunit ribosomal RNA", at positions 19 to 518 of the family's 1533-position model. The record is from RNAcentral.